RNAcentral lists this ribosomal RNA (388 nucleotides) under uncultured bacterium. RNAcentral's name for it is "bacterial SSU rRNA". It matches the Rfam family "Bacterial small subunit ribosomal RNA", at positions 420 to 806 of the family's 1533-position model. The record is from RNAcentral.
GGGUUGUAAACUUCUUUUAUAUUAGAAUAAAGUGCAGUAUGUAUACUGUUUUGUAUGUAUUAUAUGAAUAAGGAUCGGCUAACUCCGUGCCAGCAGCCGCGGUAAUACGGAGGAUCCGAGCGUUAUCCGGAUUUAUUGGGUUUAAAGGGAGCGUAGGUGGGCUGGUAAGUCAGUUGUGAAAGUUUGCGGCUCAACCGUAAAAUUGCAGUUGAUACUGUCAGUCUUGAGUACAGUAGAGGUGGGCGGAAUUCGUGGUGUAGCGGUGAAAUGCUUAGAUAUCACGAAGAACUCCGAUUGCGAAGGCAGCUCACUGGACUGCAACUGACACUGAUGCUCGAAAGUGUGGGUAUCAAACAGGAUUAGAUACCCUGGUAGUCCACACAGUAAA